RNAcentral lists this long non-coding RNA (1121 nucleotides) under Homo sapiens (human). RNAcentral's name for it is "HSALNT0105077". Lineage: Eukaryota; Metazoa; Chordata; Mammalia; Primates; Hominidae. The record is from RNAcentral.
CUCUCUUGGGUGACCUGCCUUAUCAGCAUUAGGAAGCUUUUCCUCUCACUCCUCUUUUCUAUUAAACUUUCCGCUCCUAAACCCACUCCUUGUGUGUGUCCGUGCUGUGAAUUCUUUUCGGCUAUGGUAAAGAACCAGGGUAUAUACCCUAGACAGUGGAGCUGUUUCAUUUUGGGAGCUCAUCCGGGAUCCAAAUCAGAAUGGAAGAUAGAAACAUCGGAGUGCAGUAAAAGUUACAAGUAUCAACCUCUGAAUAUAUCACACUCAAGUCAAAGCCUGAAAAGCUGAGGGAGCAACCUUUGACAGCCCAGAGGAACAUCCUGAAUAUCAAUGUGGAGAUAUAGAAGAUCUUAAGCUGAAAAUCAUAAAAGCAAUCAAACUUCAAAUGGUGCUGCAAACAAAGCCACACAUGGACAUGCCAUUCUUCCAAGAAGCCUUAGAUCAACCUCAGGAGGAGCCCCAACUGCAGCCCCCCGACACGACGCCCCUUUUCAGCAGGAAGUAGCCAGAAAGAAUCGUCGUCCAACACCCCCUAACAGCAGUUAUGGUUACGUCUCCUGAGGGAGGAAAUAAUACAGGAGUUAUUAAGAAAUUAUUUUUAGGCAGCUAGAAAGGGUAAAAAUUCUCAGUGGAAUUUUCCUUUAAUAAAAAGCAGCCCCAAACCAUUUCUUCUCUAACAGGAAGCAGCCUGAAAACUCAGGCAUAGAUAUGCAAACUAGAAGCUUUUAUAUGUAAAUGCUGGCAGCUGUACCUGGAAGUCAGGUACAUCCAAUAUGGCGGUUCCCACUCUCUUUUCCUUGUCACCACGUUUACAGGUGUCAUGGCAGCCUCCAGGUAAAACCACAUGUACAGGUAUCCUGUCCACCACCAGUUGGAGACCGUAUUUGAAUAAUAAAAGACUAGGGUGGGAGAGUCAGUCUUUUCGUGGGCUAUGUAAAUGACACAACUGGUCAAACCAAUUCCCUGAGCGCUGUGUAAAUCAAUCACCGCCUCCUCAACCUCUGUACAAAACCGACUGCAUUCCACCACAAACCGCAGACCCUCUUUUGGGCAACCCACUUUCUCAGCAUGAGGAAGGAUUUUUUCUCUCUUUUCUUUUCUAUUAAACUUUCCACUCCCAA